CUUCAAUAAAAUACUAUUAUUUACAUAGAAGAAUCACAAAUUAUGUGUUGCAGUCUUUGUUUUGUGUAAACCUUUGUUGACAUGUUCAAACAGUCUACAUAUCAGGGAUCAGGUCUGGUUAGGUUUCUGAAUGUGACAAACAACAGCCAGUAUAGGACAUGAAAUGUUUUCUAGUCAUUGUUAAUCAAAACACUGUGCUCUUCUGAUUAUAUCACUUGUGCAUUCCCCACUGAAAACCCAUUCUCCCUCUCUUUCUCACUCUCAUAUUAGAAAGUGCUGAUAUGGACAGAUUUGAAAGUACGCUGGGGUGUUUUCCAUCAGGUAGUCCUGUAGGCAGAGCCCAGAGCUGGUGGGCUGUCCCUCCUGAGUGUUACACUGCUGGGACCCCUUCAUCUCGUCCUGAGGAAACCCUCAGGACAGCCUGUGCUUGGACAGGCUAAGUGUUUGGAGUGCUUUAGGUCAUUUGCUGUCACUGUACCCUCCCAGUGGACGGGGGCGUGGUUAUGUGGUAAUAUUUUAAAAUCUGAUGACUGUGUCGGUCGUGCCAAUGGUGUAAUGAUAAGACAUGCUGCACGAUACACAUACACACUCACUCACUUGAGAGUCCCUGAGGGUCGCAGCACAGUGGCUCAGGGUGACAGGUGUGUGGCCGGAGUGAAGGAUACCACACUUUUCCUUUGGGAUUCUGGGUAAAAAUAACACCUCAGAGGUCCCAAAUCCCCAAAACUAGCAACAACAUAGCUGCACUGGUGAAGGCACCAAAGAGCCCCCAAAACCCAAGUUAGAUCUGACCACUGAACCCUGAACACACUUGCUAAUAUGGUUUGUGACACUUGAAAUUACACUAAAAUACAGCAAAAUAUUUUUUUAGUCUGAAUUCUAGUAUUCUAACCAUGUUCAGGAUAGUCAUACAAUGUUGGAAACUUCAUAAGCAAAUCUAUGAGACAUGACUGAACACCAAAUGGUUUGAGGAGAGUGUGUGACAAUAUAGGCAUGUAGUUAGCAACAUGGUAAAACUAAUAAGCACAUCUGAAACACCAAAUAUAUGUCGGAUUGACAACAUUUGGGGUAAAAUAGGAACAAAUAUUGGGUGAAAUCCUAAAGUUCAUGCCAGCAACUCUAAACAAGACACAGUUCUAUGGCAUGGGUCAAAUUCAUUCAAUAAACAUACAAUCAUAAUCA
RNAcentral lists this long non-coding RNA (1182 nucleotides) under Astyanax mexicanus (Mexican tetra). RNAcentral describes it as "lncRNA (ENSAMXG00005007473.1)". Lineage: Eukaryota; Metazoa; Chordata; Actinopteri; Characiformes; Acestrorhamphidae. The record is from RNAcentral.